CCCGCUGAACUUAAGCAUAUCAAUAAGCGGAGGAAAAGAAACCAACAGGGAUUACCUCAGUAACGGCGAGUGAAGCGGUAACAGCUCAAAUUUGAAAUCUGGCUCUUUCAGGGUCCGAGUUGUAAUUUGUAGAAGAUGCUUCGGGUGUGGCUCCGGUCUAAGUUCCUUGGAACAGGACGUCAUAGAGGGUGAGAAUCCCGUAUGUGACUGGUUGCCUUCGCCCAUGUGAAGCUCUUUCGACGAGUCGAGUUGUUUGGGAAUGCAGCUCUAAAUGGGUGGUAAAUUUCAUCUAAAGCUAAAUAUUGGCCAGAGACCGAUAGCGCACAAGUAGAGUGAUCGAAAGAUGAAAAGCACUUUGGAAAGAGAGUUAAACAGUACGUGAAAUUGUUGAAAGGGAAGCGCUUGCAACCAGACUUGCACGCCGUCGAUCAUCCUCUGUUCUCAGGGGUGCACUCGGCGGUGUUCAGGCCAGCAUCGGUUUCGGUGGUGGGAUAAAGGCCUUGGGAACGUAGCUCCUCUCGGGGAGUGUUAUAGCCCUCGGUGCAAUGCCGCCUACUGGGACCGAGGACCGCGCUUCGGCUAGGAUGCUGGCGUAAUGGUUGUAAGCGACCCGUCUUGAAACACGG
Molecule: ribosomal RNA, 626 nt
Filed under: uncultured fungus
Lineage: Eukaryota; Fungi
Description: eukaryotic LSU rRNA
Rfam family: Eukaryotic large subunit ribosomal RNA
Source: RNAcentral